CCCCGGACGAGGCAGGGAGAGGCCAGGCCCACUCUUCCCCUCACCGCUCACGUGUGCCUGCCACGGAGCCCGGGGCUGGACUUGAGCAGGCGGGGAGAAGGCGGGGCAGUGACUCAAGGAAGGGCGGGCCGAUACGCCGCAGGGACAUCUCUGCAGGGCUCUGUCCCUUCAGGAGCUUCCCGGAGAUGCUUUACGGCUGCAUUUGCAACGCGCAGCGCCUCCAAGUGCUGGUGGGGCAGUCAGAAAGGUAGGACCGCCCUCCCAGCCGCUGGAAGGUUACGGUCUGAGGAGUGGACUAGGAGGGGCCCGGGACAGCGAUAGUCAGCCGCGAUAAUGAAAGACGCUCAGGUGCUAAAUACGUGGGUUUGAGAGUUCCUGUUACACAUUCUUACCAACUCUUAAGGUUGUAUAUUUAGCUAUUCUGCUUCCAUUUUUUUCAGAGAAACCUUGCCCAUUCCCUGAGGACCUUUAUCUCCCCCUCAGUGGAACGUGCUGUCAGUGGAAUUGGCUUGUGAAGAACUGCAAGGCUCCAUGCCCAAUAUGGGGCUUAAACUCA
Lontra canadensis (Northern American river otter) is the source of this 556-nucleotide long non-coding RNA. RefSeq lists it as uncharacterized. The record is from RefSeq and is a predicted model, not a curated record. Lineage: Eukaryota; Metazoa; Chordata; Mammalia; Carnivora; Mustelidae. The transcript is spliced from 4 exons.